Molecule: unclassified non-coding RNA, 340 nt
Filed under: soil metagenome
Description: partial contains 5.8S ribosomal RNA, internal transcribed spacer 2, and large subunit ribosomal RNA
Rfam family: 5.8S ribosomal RNA (bases 1-121)
Source: RNAcentral
GAUGAAGAACGUAGUGAACGUGCGAAACGUAAUGUGAAUUGCAGAAUUCCGUGAGUCAUCGAAUCUUUGAACGCACAUUGCGCCCUCUGGUAUUCCGGAGGGCAUGCCUGUCUGAGCGUCAUUGUCAACCCUCAAGCUCAGCUUGCUGUUGGGUCCCCGUCGUUGCUUUAACGGCGGACCCGAAAGGUAAUGGCAGAGUCCGUGAGACCCUAGACGCAGCGAGCUUCUAGCACGCGUCUGGACGUUUUUCGGGCUCGGUCUUAACUAGAUGAUAACUUCCGAUUGACCUCAGAUCAGGUAGGGAUACCCGCUGAACUUAAGCAUAUCAAUAAGCGGAGGA